GAUCAUGGCUCAGAUUGAACGCUGGCGGCAGGCUUAACACAUGCAAGUCGAGCGGUAACAGGGGGAGCUUGCUCCCCGCUGACGAGCGGCGGACGGGUGAGUAAUGCAUAGGAAACUGCCCAGUAGUGGGGGAUAGCCCGGGGAAACCCGGAUUAAUACCGCAUACGCCCUUUGGGGGAAAGCAGGGGAUCUUCGGGCCUUGCGCUAUUGGAUGUGCCUAUGUGGGAUUAGCUAGUUGGUGGGGUAAGAGCCUACCAAGGCGACGAUCCGUAGCUGGUCUGAGAGGAUGAUCAGCCACAUCGGGACUGAGACACGGCCCGAACUCCUACGGGAGGCAGCAGU
RNAcentral lists this non-coding RNA (342 nucleotides) under Curtobacterium sp. MMLR14_010. RNAcentral describes it as "bacterial SSU rRNA". It matches the Rfam family "Bacterial small subunit ribosomal RNA", at positions 15 to 355 of the family's 1533-position model. Lineage: Bacteria; Bacillati; Actinomycetota; Actinomycetes; Micrococcales; Microbacteriaceae. The record is from RNAcentral.